Populus euphratica (Euphrates poplar) is the source of this 2659-nucleotide RNA transcript. It is a transcript of the gene named putative protein FAR1-RELATED SEQUENCE 10, with no coding region annotated. NCBI's taxonomy places the organism in Eukaryota, Viridiplantae, Streptophyta, Magnoliopsida, Malpighiales, Salicaceae. The record is from RefSeq and is a predicted model, not a curated record. The transcript is spliced from 6 exons.
UUUAGCUACUGCAAGAAGAUGAAACAGAAACACAAGUUAAAGAGCUCUCAAAGUCUCAACGCCGGCUGUCUCUCCCGUCUUCAACGGUGAAGGGUUUAUGCUGCCAGCUUUCUUAGAAAGGUUUAGAGAGAGUAUUUAUGUACAAUUGAGACAGUUAAAGAUUGAUAGGUUUUAGUUUUUGAAGUGGAAUUAAUGACAUCUGUGCCGUCGAAAAAUAUAUGGAUAAAGAGGCAGCAAUGCCCAUGUGGGGAUUGGAAAUGUUAUGUUACUUGUGAAGGAGAUGUUGAAGAGACAUCUGUAGCAUCUCAGUUGGAAAAAAAUGAAACUUUUCAAUCUGAUUCAAUGGUUUCUCCUUAUGUAGGAAUGGUGUUUAAGAGUGAUGAUGAUGCGUUCGAGUAUUAUGGGAAUUUUGCUAGGAAAAAUGGGUUUUCUAUUAGGAAAGAGAGGUCAAGAUUGAGCCCUCAAUUGGGUAUUUAUAAACGUGAUUUUGUUUGUUAUCGUUCGGGGUUUGCGCCGGCUAGGAAGAAGUCGACUGCAGAACACCAUAGGGAUAGGAAAUCAGUGCGGUGUGGAUGUGAUGCAAAAAUGUAUUUGUCAAAGGAAGUUGUUGAAGGGGUUUCUCAAUGGUUUGUUGUGCAAUUUAGCAAUGUGCAUAAUCAUGAGCUUUUGGAAGAUGAUCAAGUGAGGCUCCUUCCAGCUUAUCGGAAGAUUCAAGAGGCAGAUCAGGAGAGGAUUCUUUUGCUUUCAAAAGCUGGGUUCCCAAUACAUCGAAUAGUGAAGGUGUUAGAGUUGGAAAAGGGUAUUCAAGGUGGGCAAUUGCCUUUUCUAGAGAGGGAUGUUAGGAAUUUUGUUCAAAAUCGCAAGAAGAUUGUUCAAGAGAAUGAUGCUUUGCUCACUGAAAAGAGAGAGAAUGAUAGUAUGGAACUUCUUGAGGCGUGCAAAGUUACCAAAGAGAUGGAUGGAGAUUUUGUUUAUGAUUUCACAACGGAUGAGAAUGAUAAGGUUGAGAACAUUGCGUGGUCGUAUGGUGACUCUGUUCGUGCAUACACGUUGUUUGGUGAUGUGGUUUAUUUUGACACUAGUUAUCGUUCUAUCACAUAUGGCAUGCUCUUAGGCGUAUGGCUUGGAAUUGACAACAAUGGGAAGACCAUAUUCUUUGGCUGUGUUCUGUUGCAGGAUGAGACGGCUCGUUCCUUUGCAUGGGCUUUGCAGGCUUUUGUCCAUCUUAUGAAAGGAAAAUGUCCACAAACAAUUCUAACUGACCUUGAACUGGGGCUUAAGGAUGCUGUUAGAAGGGAAUUACCUAGCACCAGACACGCUAUAUCUAUAUGGAAUAUUCAACCCAAGAUAUCCAGUUGGUUUUUCCUUUCCCUUGGGGCUAGAUAUCCAGAAUUUAAAUCGAUGUUUGAUGAUUUGUAUCAUGCUGAGAAUGCAGAUGAUUUUGAACAUAGAUGGAGUCAGAUGGUUUCUAUGUUUGGAUUUGGUUCAGAUAAACACAUUGCUUUACUCUAUUCUCUUCGUGCAUCCUGGGCAUCAUCCUAUAUGAGAGGUUACUUUCUUGCUCGGAUGGCGACAUCAGCAUAUUUGAAAUCUGUAGAGUCAUUUCUGAAAGCAAUCUGUUGUGCACAAACAUGUUUACGGAGCUUCUUUGAACAGGUUGGUAGUUCCUCCAAUUUCCAGAACCAGCUACGUCAAGAGAUGCAGUACAUGCUCACUAAAACAUGCAUGCCUAUUGAAGAGCAUGCACGUAAUUUUCUUACACCUUUUGCCUUCAAUGAUUUCCAACAUGAAUUGGUGCUCUCAAUGCAAUGUGCUCUGUCUGAAAUGCCGGAUGGAUCAUAUCUUGUACACCACUACAAAAAGAUGGAUGUUGAGCGUUUUGUAAUAUGGAUACCAGAAGAUGAACAGAUUCACUGCACCUGUAAGGAAUUUGAGUCUUCAGGGAUGUUGUGCAGACACACUCUUCGGGUGUUCAUCCUGAAAAACUACUUUCAGCUUCCUGAAAAAUAUUAUCUUAGCAGAUGGCGAAGGGAAAGCUCUCUAGUUUUCUAUGAUAAUCAAGAUACUCAAACUAAUGAUGAUGGAUGGUUUCAAGAAUUUCAAUCCCUGACUGAAACUCUGUUAACAGAGUCAUCAAUCACAAAGGAGCGUUCUGAUUAUGUCCAUAGGGAACUGCCAAAGGAACUGAAAAGACUUAUCAGUGAGGUUAGAAAAAUGCCAGAAAGUGAUGGAGUUGCUAUGGAUUUAACACUUUCACCAUCUAGUUAAUUUACAGUAGGUGCAAAUAUGUCUGGUAACUUACCAAGGGGACGGCAUGAUCAUUGGCAGGAAGAUGUCUGGGGGUUUUUAUUGCUCAUUUUCAUCAGAAAGAGAAUUUUGGAAAGAAGAGCUAACCUGAAGUAGAUGUAUGAAGUGUUGCUGAGAUGCAACAAGUUGACAUUGUUUCCUUUGUGAAUAACUAUGGAAGACUGCAAAAAAUAUGAAUUGGACCGAAAUGAACUUAACCAAGGUUUUUAAACAGUUAUGAAUAUGAUUCGAUAUAACUAGGAAUUCCAGAGGAUGCAAUUGUGCUGCUAGCAUCAGACAGAUGGAAAAGGAGUUCUAGUUCCAGUCAAUCCAACCCAUUCUCUCAUUGAGGCCCUUCUAGAUUUAUCCCCCA